UUAAAGACUAUGAUAGGAAGAGUAGAUAAAGGAGGUAUCCAAAGCGAGCCAGUGACGGUGCAAGACUGGUGUUACAUCUUUAUUGAAGAACAUCCUUGAGUUUCUAACUGAAAUCUAUAAGAAAGUAGGCUUAGAGGUAUUCAGUACCUUAUAACUGAUGCAUGAAUUUAUAUAAUUCAUGCUUAUUUGAGUGGUCAUUUAGACAAAUUGGGUGGUACCGCGAAGUCAGUCUUUCGUCCCUUUA
This 244-nucleotide non-coding RNA is filed under the name Clostridium tetani. RNAcentral describes it as "T-box sequence". It matches the Rfam family "T-box leader". From Rfam's summary of the family: Uncharged tRNA acts as the effector for transcription antitermination of genes in the T-box leader family. T-boxes are found upstream of many aminoacyl-tRNA synthetase genes and some amino acid biosynthetic genes usually in Gram-positive bacteria. The anticodon of a specific tRNA base pairs to a specifier sequence within the T-box motif, and the NCCA acceptor tail of the tRNA base pairs to a conserved bulge in the T-box antiterminator hairpin. Lineage: Bacteria; Bacillati; Bacillota; Clostridia; Eubacteriales; Clostridiaceae. The record is from RNAcentral.